This 221-nucleotide unclassified non-coding RNA is filed under the name Glomeraceae sp. RNAcentral describes it as "partial contains 5.8S ribosomal RNA and internal transcribed spacer 2". The stretch from base 1 to 71 matches the Rfam family "5.8S ribosomal RNA", at positions 84 to 154 of the family's 154-position model. Lineage: Eukaryota; Fungi; Glomeromycota; Glomeromycetes; Glomerales; Glomeraceae. The record is from RNAcentral.
GUGAAUCAUCGAAUUUUUGAACGCAAAUUGCACUUUCUGGUAUUCCGGAAAGUAUGCCUGUUUGAGGGUCAGUUUAAUAAAAAUCGGGGUUGUUGUUGAUUUUCGGGGUGAUGCGGCGGAUUUGAGUUGUUUUACCUUUGGGUAAGGGAGUUAAAAUUUUGCAUGUUUUUCGAAUGUAUUGAUAUUUCUUACUUUCGUUUGAUAUGUCGAUUAUUAUUUUA